UACAGAGGGGGCAAGCGUUAAUCGGAAUUACUGGGCGUAAAGCGUGCGCAGGCGGUUUUGUAAGACAGGCGUGAAAUCCCCGGGCUCAACCUGGGAAUUGCGCUUGUGACUGCAAGGCUAGAGUACGUCAGAGGGGGGUAGAAUUCCACGUGUAGCAGUGAAAUGCGUAGAGAUGUGGAGGAACACCGAUGGCGAAGGCAGCCUCCUGGGCCAGCACUGACGCUCAUGCACGAAAGCGUGGGGAGCAAACAGG
This 253-nucleotide ribosomal RNA is filed under the name uncultured bacterium. RNAcentral's name for it is "partial 16S ribosomal RNA". It matches the Rfam family "Bacterial small subunit ribosomal RNA", at positions 524 to 776 of the family's 1533-position model. The record is from RNAcentral.